UAGUUUCACUACAAGAAAAGUAGUCUACCACAACAUCACAAUAACAACAUGCUCUAAAUGUUCGUUGUUACUUACAGUAUUCGACAACGAGCAAAUAAUGUGCGUUGUAGUAAAUCAUUUAAUACCACACGCGUCAUUUGCACGUUGUUAAUUUGGUUAUCAACAAUCUACUUUGUGUGUUGUUAUCUGCAAGUUGUCAAUUAAGUUAUCAACAAGCAGGUGUGCACGUUGUUGAAAAUUUUUCAGAAUGACAACAUGUGGCGAACGCUGUCAAAACUUUGAGAUAAAAAAAAAAAAAUUGGUGAGGGGAGCUGUCCGUUUUAUUCUAAAUUUUAGGAGAAAUUUGAAAUUUGGUUGACCUACCUUUUACAAAGCCACUAAACGCCCUAGUCGAAGCCAAAACUCAUUUCCCGCCACCAAAAGCUCUCGCCUCAGUCGACGGUGACCUUCAUAAUGUUCGACGGGCUCGGAGCCACCUAGUCGUUUCAGACUUCAAGCAGUCCUUCCCUCCCGCCAUCAACUCGUCUCCAGCGUCUCUCAGCUCAGCUCAGCUUCUCUGUCUUUGGUUCCCUUCUGAAGCUCAAGCUCAAGCUCUUUCUCAAGAUCAGCUCCCUUCGAUUCCUGCAAUGCUUCUCCGAUUCUGAUUACAGGGUCAAGAGGGGGAAGAACACGGUGGCUUUAACAAAGUAGCAUUUUAAUCUUUCAUUGAUUCUUAAAAGCCAGAAGAAUUAAACAUGAAGUUGAAACUGGACAUGAAUUUAGCUAACCGAAACCAUAACUUGGACCUAGGCUGCAAUUGCAUUACCUGCACCACUUUGCUAUAAUGACUAAAUCUGUUUUGGUUUCUCA
Molecule: long non-coding RNA, 849 nt
Organism: Rosa rugosa (rugosa rose)
Lineage: Eukaryota; Viridiplantae; Streptophyta; Magnoliopsida; Rosales; Rosaceae
Exons: 3
Source: RefSeq, a predicted model, not a curated record